Molecule: long non-coding RNA, 1251 nt
Filed under: Phascolarctos cinereus (koala)
Lineage: Eukaryota; Metazoa; Chordata; Mammalia; Diprotodontia; Phascolarctidae
Description: lncRNA (ENSPCIG00000031697.1)
Source: RNAcentral
AUGGGCCCUACCUAUCAUCCCUCAUUUGGGUCCUACUCAUUCCUCAUGUGGACUCUACUCAUCAUUCCUCACUUGGGCCCUACCCAUCAUUCCUCACUUGGGCCCUAUCCCUCAUGGGCCAUACCUAUCACUUCACUUGGGCCCUACCCAUCAUCCUUCACUUGGGCUCUACCCAUCAUCCCUCACAUGGACUCUACUCAUCAUCCCUCACUUGGGCCCUACCUAUCACCUCACUUGGGCCAUACCUAUCACUUCACUUGGGCCCUACCCAUCAUCCUCACUUGGACCCUACCCAUCAUCACUCACUUGGGCCCUAUCCAUCAUCCCUCACUUGGGCCUUACCCAUCAUCCUUCACUUGGGCCCUAUCCCUCAUGGCCAUACCUAUCACUUCACUUGGGCCCUACCCAUCAUCCUUCACUUGGGCUCUACCCAUCAUCCCUCACAUGGACUCUACUCAUCAUCCCUCACUUGGGCCCUACUUAUCACCUCACUUGAGCCCUACCUAUCACCUCACUUGGGCCCUACCCAUCAUCCCUCACUUGGGCCCUAUCCAUCAUCCCUUACUUGAGCCUUACCCAUCAUCCUUCACUUGGGCCCUAUCCCUCAUGAGCCAUACCUAUCACUUCACUUGGGCCCUACCCAUCAUCCUUCACUUGGGCUCUACCCAUCAUCCCUCACAUGGACUCUACUCAUCAUCCCUCACUUGGGCCCUACCUAUCACCUCACUUGGGCCAUACCUAUCACUUCACUUGGGCCCUACCCAUCAUCCCUCACUUGGACCCUACCCAUCAUCACUCACUUGGGCCCUAUCCAUCAUCCCUCACUUGAGCCUUACCCAUCAUCCUUCACUUGGGCCCUAUCCCUCAUGGGCCAUACCUAUCACUUCACUUGGGCCCUACCCAUCAUCCUUCACUUGGGCUCUACCCAUCAUCCCUCACAUGGACUCUACUCAUCAUCCCUCACUUGGGCCCUACUUAUCACCUCACUUGAGCCCUACCUAUCACCUCACUUGGGCCCUACCCAUCAUCCCUCACUUGGGCCCUAUCCAUCAUCCCUUACUUGAGCCUUACCCAUCAUCCUUCACUUGGGCCCUAUCCCUCAUGAGCCAUACCUAUCACUUCACUUGGGCCCUACCCAUCAUCCUUCACUUGGGCUCUACCCAUCAUCCCUCAUAUGGACUCUACUCAUCAUCCCUCACUUGGGCCCUACCUAUCACCUCACUUGGGCCCUACCCAUCAUCCCUCACUUGA